UCUAAAAAACAAAAUAUAGGACUUAAACUCCCAUCCAGAAGUAUUACUGUCUUCUUUUAGAA
RNAcentral lists this transfer RNA (62 nucleotides) under Tenuilapotamon latilum. RNAcentral describes it as "tRNA-Leu". Lineage: Eukaryota; Metazoa; Arthropoda; Malacostraca; Decapoda; Potamidae. The record is from RNAcentral.